AUAAAAAUUUUAAAAGAUAAAUAAAUAAAAAUAAAUAAAAUUAAGAGAAGAAAAUCAGGCAGGUAGUGGCCCCUGACACAAUGAAUUUUCCCACAAUUGGAUUGCUUGGGAACACAGCCCGAAGAAUGUGGUAAACUCCAUCUAAGGCUAAAUACCAGCAUGAGACUGAUAAUAAACAAGUACUUUAUGGGAAAGCUUUUAAAAAAUUAUUUUUAAAAAGAGAGAAAUUAUACUGGAGAAAGAGGAAUUAAGGUAGAAUAAUUCUUUUUUUUUCGAGACGGAGUUUUGCUCGUUACCCAGGCUGGAGUGUAGUGGCGUGAUCUCGGCUCACUGCAACCUCUGCCUUUGGAGUUCAAGUGAUUCUCAUGCCUCAUCCUCCCGAGUAGCUGGGACUACAGGCGUGCACCACUACACCUGACUAAUUUUUGUAUUUUUAGUAGAGACAGGGUUUUACCAUGUUGGCCAGGCUGUUCUCAAACUCCUGGCCUCAGGUGAUCCGCCCACCUUGGCCUCCCAAAAUGCUGGGAUUAUAGGCAGGAGCCACUGCGCUUGGCCUGAAGAACAAUUUUUAAAAGAAUU
Molecule: non-coding RNA, 579 nt
Filed under: Chlorocebus sabaeus (green monkey)
Lineage: Eukaryota; Metazoa; Chordata; Mammalia; Primates; Cercopithecidae
Description: Eukaryotic large subunit ribosomal RNA
Rfam family: Eukaryotic large subunit ribosomal RNA
Source: Rfam by way of RNAcentral